CUUAUUUCGUUCUUCUUCUUCAAAAAUAUUCAUUGAGGCAGUCAACUAGACCUUUAUCCUCUUUUACAUACCUAUCUUUUGUUUUUAAUCUAAUCCUUGUUUUACCUUCCUUUUCUCAUGUAUGUAUCAAAAAAAAAAAUGUUGUCCCCUUUUUUUACUGACUGGGCUAUUUUCUCUUCUACGUGUGAUUUGGACGUUCUAAUAACUUAGCCUCUUUCUAC
Molecule: non-coding RNA, 221 nt
Organism: Pelobates cultripes (western spadefoot toad)
Lineage: Eukaryota; Metazoa; Chordata; Amphibia; Anura; Pelobatidae
Source: the annotation of a GenBank genome assembly